UACGUAGGGUGCGAGCGUUGUCCGGAAUUAUUGGGCGUAAAGAGCUUGUAGGCGGUCUGUCGCGUCUGCUGUGAAAACCCGGGGCUCAACUCCGGGCCUGCAGCCGAUACGGGCAGACUAGAGUUCGGCAGGGGAGACUGGAAUUCCUGGUGUAGCGGUGAAAUGCGCAGAUAUCAGGAGGAACACCGGUGGCGAAGGCGGGUCUCUUGGCCGAUACUGACGCUGAGGAGCGAAAGCGUGGGGAGCGAACAGG
RNAcentral lists this ribosomal RNA (253 nucleotides) under uncultured bacterium. RNAcentral's name for it is "partial 16S ribosomal RNA". It matches the Rfam family "Bacterial small subunit ribosomal RNA", at positions 524 to 776 of the family's 1533-position model. The record is from RNAcentral.